RNAcentral lists this non-coding RNA (26 nucleotides) under Rattus norvegicus (Norway rat). Lineage: Eukaryota; Metazoa; Chordata; Mammalia; Rodentia; Muridae. The record is from RNAcentral.
GGAAAACUCUUUGGAAAUGAUCUUGC